GCACCUUUUAUUUUUAGGAUCUUAGAAGGUUGGAACAAGACAUUUUUAUUAUUUUCCUGGUCUCACGACUAGGGAAAUCGGAAUCACAAAGACAUUUAUGAUCGUGAUGACUUGGACAGCCAUGCAGCAAACAAUGCGAAAGAGGAAAUCGCCAGAGUAAAUACUCCCUCCCUGGCCGAUUUCAAGCCACCACGGCGACAUCACUGAGUGCGAAGUUGAGAGGAGACACACACAAUCAGGUCUUUCCCCUGCCACACGCCCGCUUCAGCACAUCUCAGGAUUUUUCCCGAAUUCAAAGGAGGUCUUCCUGGAAAAGAACCAAGCAGUAUCUGCAGCAGCAUCACCGAAAUGUGCUCUACUGGCAUCCCCACGGGACAGGAACAGUCGGGGUAACUGAGGGCACAUGGACUGAGCCCAGCAGGUGCCUCCUCCCCCCACUAGGAGCUGAUACCCAAUGCCCAGGCACAUGCUCCCUGUGUUCUAGGGAAGUAGGGACAUGCAGCAGCAGCAGGAACUCAGAAUUUCAGGGUGAGGGGGCUCUUAUGGAACCCUGCUAGUAAUCACUCAGUAAAGACUCGAGAGUUCGCAGUAUGGGAAAGGGGGGUGUUGCCAGCAGCCCUGGUACUCACAUAAGCAGUACCUUCAGCCUCAAGCUGCUGCCACAGGCAGAGGUGGGUGAGCUCCAUAUAACGCACUAAAUUAAAGUGGAAUGGAAGAUCUCCAAUUAAUCAUUCAAAUUUGUGUCUAAGUAACCAUGAUGCUCCAUUAUGAAUUUCAAGUA
Molecule: long non-coding RNA, 781 nt
Filed under: Mustela putorius furo (domestic ferret)
Lineage: Eukaryota; Metazoa; Chordata; Mammalia; Carnivora; Mustelidae
Description: lncRNA (ENSMPUG00000031599.1)
Source: RNAcentral